This 253-nucleotide unclassified non-coding RNA is filed under the name uncultured Alicyclobacillaceae bacterium. Its description in RNAcentral is "contains 16S-23S intergenic spacer region". It matches the Rfam family "Bacterial small subunit ribosomal RNA", at positions 524 to 776 of the family's 1533-position model. Lineage: Bacteria; Bacillati; Bacillota; Bacilli; Caryophanales; Alicyclobacillaceae. The record is from RNAcentral.
UACGGAGGGGGCAAGCGUUGUCCGGAAUUACUGGGCGUAAAGCGCGCGCAGGCGGCGAACUACGUCUGGGGUGAAAGCCCGGGGCUCAACCGCGGGACUGCCUUGGAUACGGGAUCGCUUGAGAACCGGAGAGGUAAGGGGAAUUCCACGUGUAGCGGUGAAAUGCGUAGAUAUGUGGAGGAACCCCAGUGGCGAAGGCGCCUUACUGGCCGAUUUCUGACGCUGAGGCGCGAAAGCGUGGGGCGCAAACAGG